Molecule: ribosomal RNA, 1065 nt
Filed under: uncultured Bacillus sp.
Lineage: Bacteria; Bacillati; Bacillota; Bacilli; Caryophanales; Bacillaceae
Description: bacterial SSU rRNA
Rfam family: Bacterial small subunit ribosomal RNA
Source: RNAcentral
AGAGUUUGAUCAUGGCUCAGGACGAACGCUGGCGGCGUGCCUAAUACAUGCAAGUCGAGCGGACCUCUUCGGAGGUUAGCGGCGGACGGGUGAGUAACACGUGGGCAACCUGCCUGUAAGACUGGGAUAACUCCGGGAAACCGGAGCUAAUACCGGAUAGUAUCUUGAACCGCAUGGUUCAAGCUGGAAAGACGGUUUCGGCUGUCACUUACAGAUGGGCCCGCGGCGCAUUAGCUAGUUGGUGAGGUAAUGGCUCACCAAGGCAACGAUGCGUAGCCGACCUGAGAGGGUGAUCGGCCACACUGGGACUGAGACACGGCCCAGACUCCUACGGGAGGCAGCAGUAGGGAAUCUUCCGCAAUGGACGAAAGUCUGACGGAGCAACGCCGCGUGAGUGAUGAAGGUUUUCGGAUCGUAAAACUCUGUUGUUAGGGAAGAACAAGUGCGAGAGUAACUGCUCGCACCUUGACGGUACCUAACCAGAAAGCCACGGCUAACUACGUGCCAGCAGCCGCGGUAAUACGUAGGUGGCAAGCGUUGUCCGGAAUUAUUGGGCGUAAAGCGCGCGCAGGCGGUUUCUUAAGUCUGAUGUGAAAGCCCCCGGCUCAACCGGGGAGGGUCAUUGGAAACUGGGAAACUUGAGUGCAGAAGAGGAGAGUGGAAUUCCACGUGUAGCGGUGAAAUGCGUAGAGAUGUGGAGGAACACCAGUGGCGAAGGCGACUCUCUGGUCUGUAACUGACGCUGAGGCGCGAAAGCGUGGGGAGCGAACAGGAUUAGAUACUCCUGGUAGUCCACGGCCGUAAACGAUGAGUGCUAAGUGUUUAGAGGCAUUCCGCCCUUUUAGUGCUGCAGCUAACGCAAUUAAGCACUCCGCCCUGGGGAGUACGGGUCGCAGACUGAAACUUCAAAGGAAUUGACGGGGGGCCCGCACAGCGGUGGAGCAUGUGAUUUAUUCUAGCACGCGGAGAUCUACAGGUCUUGACAUCCUUGCCACUUCUAGAGAAUAGAAUGUCCUCGGUACUAGGUGACGUUGUGCAUGCCUGUCAUUCCAGUCCGUGUCGUGA